AAGAACAAACCUUGCCUUAGUUUCUUUUCCUUAUUAACAGUCACCCCCAUCGUACCCUUCCCCUCUUUUUCUUUUUGGCAAAAAAAGUUUAAUUCCUCUUUCAGCCAUGGACAGAUCUGUCUACACCAUUUUCAUAUAAGUUGAUAUGUUUCUUAUUCCCUCUCUCCUAUUUCGAGCAAAGGGUACAAACUGGCAAAUAAUUAUCAAACCAAAUCUUCACUUGUUCAAGAAUUGUCAAGGCCGAAUCUCUGCAAAUCUGAAUCAAUAAGGAAAUUCGGUCAAUAUUUCUUCAGAAAAUCUGAACCAGAAAGCUACAUUUUUUAUUCCAAAGCCAACCCAUGACAUCUCUUCCUGUUUCCUUUUGAAAUUCAAAUGGCUAAACUUUCCCUUCAAAUCCCACUCAGAAACUGUAGCUAUAACUUGGGGAUGCACCUAUAAAUACCUCUCGAAAGUUUCAGCCGAGAUCGAUCUUGGAAUCCCUCUAAAAAAUAAAGUUUUAGUAUCUAAAAGAAUCUCCAAGCUAAGUUGUUCAUUUGAUAUGACUAUCAUAUCUGGAAGACCUUAGUGUUGUUUAAUCUUUCAAUGUCAGUUCAAUUCGAUUUAGUUAAAAGAGGAAUAGAUCUGAAGCAUCGCAAGCCCCAAGUUCACUGCCCCAUAAAAGGUAAAAUCCGACUUUUUGAUCAUGUUCUUCACUUAAAGGAAUUGUAUUUGCUUAAAAAAAGCAUGUCUUAAGUUUAUGUUUUAUCUGUUAUAGUGGAAUGCGCAUAGAAUAUUUUCUGAUACUGAGGUGAUGUGAAAAAUCCACACUUUAAGUCACGUUUGUAUCCAAAUUGGCUGUGUUAAAACUUUACUCACUAAACCAUGCUAUUUGCUAUUGUAUUCUCGAAUGUUUGAAGAAGUGAUGGUGUUCUAUACAAUAAAAAUAAUGUUCUUUAGAAUUUUAUGUCUGACAAACAUCCUACAUCAAAAUACUUUUGGAUUUUAUUCUUGACUAAUUUUUAUUUCUUUAUUUUUGAGUUUAAACAUUGUAGUAGAAAAGCAUAGUAUAACGAUUCGACCGGUCGUUUUAAACUUUUGCACUUUUAUCGUCAGUUCUCGGGCAUGAUUUGAUAUGUGGUGUAUUAUAACUUAUGUAAAUCGUUGGUUUUGGUUUCAUGUUAAUCAAAAUAAAUUUGAAGGAACAGUUUCAGCUGAAAGCUUGGAAUUUGGAAGGUUUGACCAAUAGUUAACUAAGCAUAUGAGCCCGAAUCGAAAUUUUUAUGAUAUGGUUAGCUUCGUAAGGUGAUUUAUGACUUAGGAUUAUGAUCGGAAUUAAUUUUGGAGGUCCGGUGUGAAAUUUGGCUUGAAUUGAUGAAGUUAGUAUUUUGGCGAAUUUCGGUUGGUAUGUGAGAUUUUGAUCCGAGAGUCGGAAUAGAAUUCCGAGAGUUUCAAUAGCUUAGUUAUGUCAUUUGGGAUGUGUGUGCAAUAUUUCAGAUCAUUCGGACGUUGUUUGGUAGAGUUUUAGAAGAACUUAGGCUUGAUUUGAUGUAAUUUGUUUGGUUUGGUGUUGUUUGAGGUGUUUUGAUGAUUGGAACAAGUUUAAAUGAUGUUUUAGGGUGUGUUGGUACUUUUGGUUGAGGUCCUGGGGAUCUCUGGGUGAUUUCGGGUGGCUAAACGGGAGGAUUUGGACUUUGAGUUAUUGCAAAAAUUGCAGCAGUUGUGUAGGGGUAUUUUGGUCAUCGCGAGCUUGGGGCCGCAAUCACAUAGAAGGAUUUUGGCAGGCUGGAGUUUUGUUCUACGUGUUCGCGAUAAGGGGUCUGUGAUCGCGGAAGGUGAAUUCUUGGUACUUUGCUUUCGCAGUAAGAAGUUCGCGAUCGCGUAAGAGGACCUAGGACCCAUCAUACUUGUCCAUUGCGUUCGCCGCAUUCGCGUAGAUUGAAAAGUCAAGGCAUCACGUUCGCAUCAGAAAGGUCGCGUUUGCAUAGCACAUUUUUGGAGGCUUGGGAAAUUGCUAUUCGAAAUCGCGUGCCUGGGGCCGCGAUUGCAUUGAAUAAAAAUUAGAGUUGGGCAGAAUAGUUUUUAAACAUUUCCUCCACGAGCUUAGUCAUAUUUUCCUCCAUUAUUAGGCAUUUUGAGAGCUGUUUGGGAAAAUUGAAGAGGGUUUCAAAGAAGAUUGAUUGGAGGUAAGUUCUAUAAACCAAAAACUGUUGGAAACACGUUCUCAAGGCAUUAUACUAAACGUGUGUUCAUAUUUGUAGGUUUUGAUGAAUGACAAACUAUGCACAAAUUGACACAUNNN
RNAcentral lists this long non-coding RNA (2278 nucleotides) under Nicotiana benthamiana. RNAcentral describes it as "long non-coding RNA (NBEN_LNC041996)". Lineage: Eukaryota; Viridiplantae; Streptophyta; Magnoliopsida; Solanales; Solanaceae. The record is from RNAcentral.